GCGAACAGAGAAGGAGCUUGCUCCUUCGACGUUAGCGGCGGACGGGUGAGUAACACGUGGGCAACCUACCUUAUAGUUUGGGAUAACUCCGGGAAACCGGGGCUAAUACCGAAUAAUCUGUUUCACCUCAUGGUGAAACACUGAAAGACGGUUUCGGCUGUCGCUAUAGGAUGGGCCCGCGGCGCAUUAGCUAGUUGGUGAGGUAACGGCUCACCAAGGCGACGAUGCGUAGCCGACCUGAGAGGGUGAUCGGCCACACUGGGACUGAGACACGGCCCAGACUCCUACGGGAGGCAGCAGUAGGGAAUCUUCCACAAUGGGCGAAAGCCUGAUGGAGCAACGCCGCGUGAGUGAAGAAGGAUUUCGGUUCGUAAAACUCUGUUGUAAGGGAAGAACAAGUACAGUAGUAACUGGCUGUACCUUGACGGUACCUUAUUAGAAAGCCACGGCUAACUACGUGCCAGCAGCCGCGGUAAUACGUAGGUGGCAAGCGUUGUCCGGAAUUAUUGGGCGUAAAGCGCGCGCAGGUGGUUUCUUAAGUCUGAUGUGAAAGCCCACGGCUCAACCGUGGAGGGUCAUUGGAAACUGGGAGACUUGAGUGCAGAAGAGGAUAGUGGAAUUCCAAGUGUAGCGGUGAAAUGCGUAGAGAUUUGGAGGAACACCAGUGGCGAAGGCGACUAUCUGGUCUGUAACUGACACUGAGGCGCGAAAGCGUGGGGAGCAAACAGGA
RNAcentral lists this ribosomal RNA (730 nucleotides) under Lysinibacillus sp. RNAcentral describes it as "bacterial SSU rRNA". It matches the Rfam family "Bacterial small subunit ribosomal RNA", at positions 66 to 777 of the family's 1533-position model. Lineage: Bacteria; Bacillati; Bacillota; Bacilli; Caryophanales; Bacillaceae. The record is from RNAcentral.